GUGGUUAGGAUUCGGCGCUCUCA
This 23-nucleotide non-coding RNA is filed under the name Xenopus tropicalis (tropical clawed frog). RNAcentral also lists the same sequence under 3 other names. Lineage: Eukaryota; Metazoa; Chordata; Amphibia; Anura; Pipidae. The record is from RNAcentral.